Molecule: ribosomal RNA, 370 nt
Filed under: uncultured bacterium
Lineage: Bacteria
Description: bacterial SSU rRNA
Rfam family: Bacterial small subunit ribosomal RNA
Source: RNAcentral
AUUGAACGCUGGCGGCAGGCUUAACACAUGCAAGUCGAGCGGAGACUUCGGUCUUAGCGGCGAACGGGUGAGUAAUACCUAGGAAUCUGCCUAUUAGUGGGGGAUAACGAAUCGAAAGGUUCGCUAAUACCGCAUACGUCCUACGGGAGAAAGGGGGGGAUCUUUGGACCUCUCGCUAAUAGAUGAGCCUAGGCCGGAUUAGCUAGUUGGUAGGGUAAAGGCCUACCAAGGCGACGAUCUGUAGCUGGUCUGAGAGGAUGGCCAGCCACACUGGAACUGAGACACGGUCCAGACUCCUACGGGAGGCAGCAGUGGGGAAUAUUGGACAAUGGGGGCAACCCUGAUCCAGCCAUGCCGCGUGUGUGAAGAA